This 224-nucleotide ribosomal RNA is filed under the name Klebsiella pneumoniae. Its description in RNAcentral is "partial 23S ribosomal RNA". It matches the Rfam family "Bacterial large subunit ribosomal RNA", at positions 1 to 232 of the family's 2925-position model. The record is from RNAcentral. Lineage: Bacteria; Pseudomonadati; Pseudomonadota; Gammaproteobacteria; Enterobacterales; Enterobacteriaceae.
CGACUAAGCGUACCCGGUGGAUGCCCUGGCAGUCAGAGGCGCUGAAGGACGUGCUAAUCUGCGAAAAGCGUCGGUAAGGUGAUAUGAACCGUUAUAACCGGCGAUGUCCGAAUGGGGAAACCCAGUGUGAUUCGUCACACUAUCGUUAACUGAAUACAUAGGUUAACGAGGCGAACCGGGGGAACUGAAACAUCUAAGUACCCCGAGGAAAAGAAAUCAACCGA